RNAcentral lists this small RNA (609 nucleotides) under Pongo abelii (Sumatran orangutan). RNAcentral's name for it is "retained intron". The record is from RNAcentral. Lineage: Eukaryota; Metazoa; Chordata; Mammalia; Primates; Hominidae.
AAACUGUUAAAGGUGGGAACUUAUCAGCAUCAGAAGCCACAUACCAUUCACAUGAGAUCAAAACCAGUGAUGAGCAUACCAGGUAAAAGGAGUUGAGUUCUAUUAGGAGGAAGAAAAGCGGAUAAGGGCACAGCAGGAAGUGUGACUGAGCAGACUGAGUCUAAGGGGAGGUGGGAAACAGAGUUAGCAGGACGUUAAGACCAUCUCUUUCCUGGUGGGAUGACUGAAUUCUCUCUCCUACUGCCCACCACUGCCACUGCCACCCUGCCAACCAACUUCCACAGUUGACCUGAUCAUGAAGACCUGCUUUAGCCCCAACAGAGUGAUUGGACUCUCAAGUGACUUGCAGCAAGUAGGAGGGGCAUCAGCUCGCAUCCAGGAUGCCCUGAGCACAGUGUUGCAAUAUGCAGAGGAUGUACUGUCUGGAAAGGUGUCAGCUGACAAUACUGUGGGCCGCUUCCUGAUGAGCCUGGUUAACCAAGUACCAAAAAUAGUUCCCGAUGACUUCGAGACCAUGCUCAACAGCAACAUCAAUGACCUGUUGAUGGUGACCUACCUGGCCAACCUCACACAGUCACAGAUCGCCCUCAAUGAAAAACUCGUAAACCU